Molecule: ribosomal RNA, 434 nt
Filed under: uncultured Clostridium sp.
Lineage: Bacteria; Bacillati; Bacillota; Clostridia; Eubacteriales; Clostridiaceae
Description: partial 16S ribosomal RNA
Rfam family: Bacterial small subunit ribosomal RNA
Source: RNAcentral
ACGGAAGGCAGCAGUGGGGAAUAUUGCACAAUGGGCGAAAGCCUGAUGCAGCGACGCCGCGUGAGUGAAGAAGUAUCUCGGUAUGUAAAGCUCUAUCAGCAGGGAAGAAAAUGACGGUACCUGACUAAGAAGCCCCGGCUAACUACGUGCCAGCAGCCGCGGUAAUACGUAGGGGGCAAGCGUUAUCCGGAUUUACUGGGUGUAAAGGGAGCGUAGACGGUUUGGCAAGUCUGAAGUGAAAUGCGGGGGCUCAACUCCUGAACUGCUUUGGAAACUGUCGAACUAGAGUGCAGGAGAGGUAAGUGGAAUGCCUAGUGUAGCGGUGAAAUGCGUAGAUAUUAGGAGGAACACCAGUGGCGAAGGCGGCUUACUGGACUGUAACUGACGUUGAGGCUCGAAAGCGUGGGGAGCAAACAGGAUUAGAUACCCUGGUA